AAUAAGAUCAUUUUUUAUUUUUUGAUACAAUGUUUUGAUUCUUCAUCUUAUUUAAAAUUUUUUUGCGAUUAAUAUUUUUAUUCUUACUAGAUGAUAAAACAUGAAUAGUACUUUAUGCGUGACUAAUUUUUUUAAGUUUUUUAUAAAUUUUUCAAAUAAGAUGAAUGGUUAAAUAUUAGGAAAGAAAACAAAAAUGCAGAUAUU
Molecule: microRNA precursor, 204 nt
Filed under: Oryza brachyantha (malo sina)
Lineage: Eukaryota; Viridiplantae; Streptophyta; Magnoliopsida; Poales; Poaceae
Description: MIR812 microRNA precursor family
Rfam family: MIR812 microRNA precursor family
Source: Rfam by way of RNAcentral